UUACGGCCACAUCAGGUUGAAACACCGCUUCCCUUACGAUCGCCGAAGUUAAGCAACAUUGAGCUUGGUCAGUAUCUCGGUGGCCACUUAGGAAUACCAGGUGCU
This is a non-coding RNA of Acanthosepion pharaonis, 105 nucleotides long. The record is from the annotation of a GenBank genome assembly. NCBI's taxonomy places the organism in Eukaryota, Metazoa, Mollusca, Cephalopoda, Sepiida, Sepiidae.